This 108-nucleotide ribosomal RNA is filed under the name Clostridium brassicae. RNAcentral's name for it is "partial 23S ribosomal RNA". It matches the Rfam family "Bacterial large subunit ribosomal RNA", at positions 2818 to 2925 of the family's 2925-position model. The record is from RNAcentral. Lineage: Bacteria; Bacillati; Bacillota; Clostridia; Eubacteriales; Clostridiaceae.
AGCGUAAGCUAGUAAGACCCCUGGAAGACUACCAGGUUGAUAGGUCAGAGGUGUAAGCGUGGUAACAUGUUAAGCUGACUGAUACUAAUAGGUCGAGGGCUUGAUCAA